GAGAGGACCGGAGUGGACGCAUCACUGGUGUUCGGGUUGUCAUGCCAAUGGCACUGCCCGGUAGCUAAAUGCGGAAGAGAUAAGUGCUGAAAGCAUCUAAGCACGAAACUUGCCCCGAGAUGAGUUCUCCCUGACUCCUUGAGAGUCCUGAAGGAACGUUGAAGACGACGACGUUGAUAGGCCGGAUGUGUAAGCGCAGCGAUGCGUUGAGCUAACCGGUACUAAUGAACCGUGAGGCUUAACCUU
RNAcentral lists this ribosomal RNA (246 nucleotides) under Escherichia coli. Its description in RNAcentral is "partial 23S ribosomal RNA". It matches the Rfam family "Bacterial large subunit ribosomal RNA", at positions 2685 to 2925 of the family's 2925-position model. Lineage: Bacteria; Pseudomonadati; Pseudomonadota; Gammaproteobacteria; Enterobacterales; Enterobacteriaceae. The record is from RNAcentral.